AGGCUGUUGUGUGCGCUAUCCGGGCGGCUUCACCUUACUCUCUCCAGGUAGCCCAAACGAAAUCUUUUAUCCCAGUACCGCUCUGAUAACUCCUUCAGACUUUCAUCUCUUUCCGAAAGUGGCGUGCUGCCCAGAGAUGGACAUAAUCCACCAGUUGCAGAUUAGUCGGCGCCUGAUAAAGGCCUAGCAAACCCCAACGCCUUUUUAACAGCUUUCCCGACUUGUUUCUGUUCUUUAAAUUAAUUUAGAUUGCCUCUCGAACAUGAACAGUACGUAAUCAUUUGGGGCAUAGAAGGAUAGCAUUUGGUCAUUCGAGUAUAUGCUAGCUCUCUACGGAACAACCCAUUCGAUUCCAUUUCCUUACUCAAUCCCUGUAGCGUCUGUUCAAUCUCCUUUAUAAAUGAUGGUUUCUACUUCCAGCAACCUGUUAGACAGCAUCUUCCAGGUCAAUUAUACUUGUUGCUUAAAGAAAGGUUAUUUCCCUUACCCUAAACUUUAAAGCUGUGUUCCCUUAGCCCUUGUACUACCACCUAAUUCUGGACAGUUUUUACUUGUCUACUUUAUGUCAUAAUCUUAUACAGCUCUUACUGAAUGUCCUUUGUUCCAGGAGAACAACACCAACUUUUCCAAACUAACUUUGCAGCUAAUAUCCCUCAUCUAUGCUGUCACGUCUGGUAAGUUUCUUCUGCACAUCCAGAUGCUUCCUCACGUGUGAUCACAAGAACCGGGAGCAAUACUCUGCAACCUCUCCGGCCUGGAAAUUUAUUGUUUAGAAAGAUAAAAACAGUUCUCUGGAUUUUAUUUUUUGAGCAGAUCUAGACCGAGGUGCUGCAGCAAAUCGGGAAGGCAUGAGCUCACCUCGUUGAGGAAAGCGCAGGAUUUCAAGGGUUGAGUGACUUUGUAACCUUGUCUUGUACUCAGAGUGACUUUUUAACUUUGUUGUACUCUUCCACCCUACAGGAUCACCUCAUCCCCUCUGUCGUCUGCCAUUUCCCGCCCAAACUCUCUUUACAGAGGUGAUUUUGAGCAGACCCAAUUAUUCUCAGGAUAUAGUUUGUCUUUUAAACUCUCACCAUGGCAUCUAAGAAAAGUGCAACAAAACGUAAGCAUGUUACACUUACAAUCUCAGAAAAGAUUGAAAUCAUAAAUAAACUAGAUAAAGGUUCUUCAGUAAAGUCAUUGUGUGAGGCAUAUGGUGUGGGGGUCUCAACAAUUUAUGACAUCAACAAGCAGCGUGAAAAGCUAUUUAAAUUUUGUGCUGAAAGUGACACAGUUAAAGGAAUUAGGGAACGCAGAACGCUGCAUCGUGCUAAGUCUGCUGACCAUGAUAAUGUCCUAUAUAAGUGGUUCAGGCAACGUCGUAGUGAGGGGCUCCCUAUUUCGGGAACAAUGCUGAUGGAAAAGGCCAAACAAUUUCAUACUGAUUUGAGAAUUAAUUCUGUGUGUGAGUACUCUCAAGGUUGGUUGCAGAAGUUUAAACAUAGGCACGGAAUUCGCCUCAAGGCUACUGGUGAACAAACUUCUGCAGAUAAACGGGCUGUUGAAUGUUACAUAACUGACUUUGCAAAGUUAAUGAAGGAUGAGGAUCUUAGCCCUGAGCAAAUAUAUAAUGCGGAUGAGACAGAUGUUUUCUGGAGAUGUUUGCCACCACACAGGCUUGCUGGUGCAGAGGAGAUGAUGGUACAUGAUUACAAAGAAUCAUCAGAAAGAAUUACUGUGCUCGCAUGUGCUAAUGCUGCUGGAACACAUAAGUGUAAACUUUUGGUUGUUGGUAAAUGUCCUCGUGUUUUCAAAGGAAUGAAAAUUAUGCCGGUGCUUUAUGAAGCCAAUAAAUGUUCGUGGGUCACCCAGGAAAUAUUGAGUGAUUGGUUCCAUAAUCAUUUUGUUCCAGAGGCUCGUGCACACUGUAGAGAGGUUGGCUUGGCUGCAGAUUGCAAAAUUGUCCUUCUUUUAAAUAACUGUACAGCUCACCCCCCUAGAGAACAAUUAGAUGCUGACAAUGUCUUCCCUACCUAUCUACCUGCUAGUUGCUCAUCUUCAAUUCAGCCAAUGAACCAAGGAGUUAUUAGGUCAAUGAAAAGUCACUACAGAAACAGUUUUUUGCGUCGUCUUGUGAGCAGCUACAAUACUGGUGGUGUUGAUGCUUUUAAGAAUGCCUUGAGUCUCAAAGAUGCUAUUUGGUGUUUGGCAAAUGCAUGGGACAGUGUCACAAGGAGAACCUUACAAAAUGCAUGGCGUAAGUUGUGUCCUGUAAUUAUGUUUAACGAUGAGGACACAGGGGAAAGCUCGGAGGGUUUUAAUUUAAGUGAAGCCAAGGCAAUGGUGACUGAUCUCUUGUGUUGUACCAAGCAACUGGGAAGUGACUUGAAUGAGGAAGACAUUUUGACAUGGUUAAAUUGUGAAGAUAAUACUUCAGUUGUACAACAAGUAACAAAUUCAGAGAUAUUUGAGGUAGUUUUACACCACAAGUCUGAGGAUAGUGAUACCAGCAAUGAAGAAGAUAAUGCUACUGGGAAGAAAAUUACCUUGGAAGAGGGGAUCAGUCUAGCUUCCCGUUUCAUUCGCUUUCUUGAGCAACAAAGUUUUGUAAGCCAGCAAGAUAUAAUGCAUGUACACAGGAUCCAGGAGAAACUGAUAAGUGAGCAGCCAAAACACAUGAAACAAAUGAAGUUGCAGCAAAUGUUUGAUGAAGUUGGAAAGUCGUUUGCACACGCGCCAUCAACAUCACUGAACUCGAUCCCAUCAACCAGCAGAGUCAAUGAAACAAAGGACCCAGAGUUGACUGCUCUUGCUAUCAAUUAUCAUCAAUUUUCUCCUACGCCUCUUCUAAAUAUUGGUGAAACAAAGCAAUGUAUGGAAUAACUUGUUCCCUUUAAGUCAUCAACAGCAUUUUAAUACAGUACUUUGAAAUUGUAAGCAUAAAUAUGUGUAUUUGAAUAAGUAAAAUAAAUUUUAUUAUUACUUCACAAAAUGUUAUCAGUAUUUUGUGUCUCUGGUAAAUAUUUAUAUGCAUGAUGUUUUCUGGUUCUAUUACUUGUGGUUAAGAAUUUUAACAUUUCUCUAUAAUCCAGAAAUGGCUUGGUCCCUAACAUUCCAGACUGGAGAGGUUGCAGUGCGGCCUAAUCAGAGCUUUAUAAGGGUUCAGCAGAAAUUCAUUUCUGUACUUUUUGUACUUAAUGCUUCUGUUUGUGAAGAUGAAGAUCUCACAUGCUUUGCUAACCACUCUGUCCCUGCUGCAAAUGGGCAUGUUGUCGGGCCAGCAGUUAUUGGGUUCUCUCCCUUUAUUCUAAAUUAGGGGUGUAACAUUUCUAAGUCUCCAAUUCUCUGGCACCACUCCAAUAUGCAGUAAGGAUUUGAUGAUUGUGCCCAGUGCCUGUGUGAUUUACACCAUUACUUCUAUCAUAAACCUAGAGGCUAUACUCCAUUUUAGUAUGAGACCUUUCAUAGUGCCCCUGCCCGUCACAACUACCAUAGCCACAGUGGCUUCUAGCUAUUCUAAAGAUUGCCCAUUUACAUUGCUGGCCUGACAGCUGGGGCCCCGUUGAUUUUAAAAAUUUAUGAAUCGGUCUUCAGAGGACACCUCCAUCUCUGUCCUCCUGACAUCGACAGCACCCUCUUCUACAUUUACAGUGGAGCUCUGUCAGAGGUGAGCAACCAAUCUUUCAGUGCUCAAUAGCCUCCUGUUGGCCCUCUAGUCACCAUUUUUAAUUGGUUGGUGAUGGACAUACUGGCCUUCAGGUUAAUAAAUCGUGUUGGACAUCAGGCACUGAUGUGAUGGGGUCAGGACCCGGAAAUGUACCCAUGCCAGAGUUGCAACCCCAGAAUGAAAAUUCAGCCCAUGGUCUACAUUUCACAUUUUGCUUUUCUAUUUCAUAUCUGAUCAUGUUAAAUUGAACAAAGAUGUCCCCACUGUGUCAUCGCAUUUGUUACCGGUGGACUUCAUUGAGAAUUACUGGUCUAGUUUGGUCUUCAAGGCAAGAAAUAAAGGUGUUGCCAAUAGCUUCCUACAGCCUUCAAACUCGCUUUGGUUUAGAUGCACGUCAAUGCCUCUUGACUCAAAAACCCUGGAUGUUGAAAAGUUCUAAAUUGAGUUCUUCAGCAUCAGGCUUGCCACCAGGUAAAGAAGAUGGCACUGGACAGUUCACAGAAAGCAGUAUUUUGCAAAACACAGAUGAUAACCAUGGCAAAUCAGAACUGCCUAGUCUGGUGAAAGAUGUACAAUCUGUAGGUAAGCUAU
Rhincodon typus (whale shark) is the source of this 4237-nucleotide RNA transcript. RefSeq lists it as uncharacterized. NCBI's taxonomy places the organism in Eukaryota, Metazoa, Chordata, Chondrichthyes, Orectolobiformes, Rhincodontidae. The transcript is spliced from 2 exons. The record is from RefSeq and is a predicted model, not a curated record.